GACGAACGCUGGCGGCGUGCUUAACACAUGCAAGUCGUACGGUAAGGCCCUUUCGGGGGUACACGAGUGGCGAACGGGUGAGUAACACGUGCGUAACCUGCCCACAACUUUGGGAUAACGCUAGGAAACUGGUGCUAAUACUGGAUAUGUGCUCCUGCUGCAUGGUGGGGGUUGGAAAGCUCCGGCGGUUGUGGAUGGACUCGCGGCCUAUCAGCUUGUUGGUGGGGUAGUGGCCUACCAAGGCGGCGACGGGUAGCCGGCCUGAGAGGGUGACCGGCCACAUUGGGACUGAGAGACGGCCCAGACUCCUACGGGAGGCAGCAGUGGGGAAUAUUGCACAAUGGGCGCAAGCCUGAUGCAGCAACGCCGCGUGCGGGAUGACGGCCUUCGGGUUGUAAACCGCUUUCAGCAGGGACGAAGCUUUUUGUGACGGUACCUGCAGAAGAAGCACCGGCUAACUACGUG
This 465-nucleotide ribosomal RNA is filed under the name uncultured bacterium. Its description in RNAcentral is "partial 16S ribosomal RNA". It matches the Rfam family "Bacterial small subunit ribosomal RNA", at positions 28 to 507 of the family's 1533-position model. The record is from RNAcentral.